RNAcentral lists this ribosomal RNA (431 nucleotides) under uncultured bacterium. Its description in RNAcentral is "partial 16S ribosomal RNA". It matches the Rfam family "Bacterial small subunit ribosomal RNA", at positions 29 to 507 of the family's 1533-position model. The record is from RNAcentral.
AACGAACGCUGGCGGCAGGCCUAACACAUGCAAGUCGAGCGCCCUUUCGGGGGAGCGGCGGACGGGUGAGUAACGCGUGGGAAUAUGCCCUUCUCUACGGAAUAGCCUCGGGAAACUGAGAGUAAUACCGUAUACGCCCUGUGGGGGAAAGAUUUAUCGGGGAAGGAUUAGCCCGCGUUGGAUUAGGUAGUUGGUAGGGUAAUGGCCUACCAAGCCGACGAUCCAUAGCUGGUUUGAGAGGAUGAUCAGCCACACUGGGACUGAGACACGGCCCAGACUCCUACGGGAGGCAGCAGUGGGGAAUCUUAGACAAUGGGGGCAACCAUGAUCUAGCCAUGCCGCGUGAGUGAUGAAGGCCUUAGGGUUGUAAAGCUCUUUCAGCUGGGAAGAUAAUGACGGUACCAGCAGAAGAAGCCCCGGCUAACUCCGUG